UACGUAGGGGGCAAGCGUUGUCCGGAUUUAUUGGGCGUAAAGAGCGUGUAGGCGGCCGCACAGGUCCGUUGUGAAAACUGGAGGCUUAACCUUCAGACGUCGAUGGAAACCGUGCGGCUAGAGUCCGGAAGAGGAGAAUGGAAUUCCUGGUGUAGCGGUGAAAUGCGCAGAUAUCAGGAGGAACACCAAUGGCGAAGGCAGCUCGCUGGGACGUGACUGACGCUGAGACGCGAAAGCGUGGGGAGCAAACAGG
This 253-nucleotide ribosomal RNA is filed under the name uncultured bacterium. Its description in RNAcentral is "partial 16S ribosomal RNA". It matches the Rfam family "Bacterial small subunit ribosomal RNA", at positions 524 to 776 of the family's 1533-position model. The record is from RNAcentral.